GAUUGAAAAGGAGAAAAACCUCUCCUCCUCCUUCUUUCUUCAUGAUCUUCUCACUCAAGACCCUUGCAUGCAUCUCAUUCGAGCUUAUAAAAAGAGAGGGACAAGUAAAUAAACAUGAGAGUUAGACUUGUAGGUCUAAGCUAAAGAAGGAAAACAGUCAAACACCACCAUAGAGAGAGAGGGAGAGAGACUAGAAGAAGCCGCGAGGGAGGAAGAAAUUUGGAGCUGAAAAAUCAAAGAAGAAAAGGGUCCUCGACAUACUCCGUCCAUUUGGAGACAUUCUUGUGCUUCGGGUAUGAGUGGAUUUUGUCCAGAUGAGAAAACCAUGAGGGCUGUUCUUACCUGGGCGUGCCGUUGCUGGAGGCGUCGAGGGAGACAGCUGGGCUGGCCUGUUGAAACCAUUUUCCUUCUGUUCAACCACGAGGGCUGUUCUUAACAGUUUUCCUUUUGUUCUUCCCCUAGUCUUCGUAAUUGUUGUUGCACUUGAAGAUGAUGAUGAUGAUGACGGUGAUGGAGGGCUGACCUCCUGAAACCAUUUUCUUCUCUUCUGUUUUCCCUUUAUUCUUCCCCUAGUCUUUUAGGUGCCCUCCUUGUCUGCGUGGAGAGUGAAUUAAUUCACUCUUUAUAAAAAUUCACUCUCCAUUGUUGUGAACAGUGGAGAGUGAACUGCAAAAAAAAAAAACAGUAAAAAUAUUUAAUUUUUAAUUGUAUUUUAUUCAAAAAAAUUAGUGUUUAAUAUUAUUUAAUAACACUACAUAAAUUAGAAGGAGAUCACAUGAUGGCGUGAUAUUUGCAGAA
This is a long non-coding RNA of Populus trichocarpa (black cottonwood), 798 nucleotides long. RefSeq lists it as uncharacterized. The record is from RefSeq and is a predicted model, not a curated record. The transcript is spliced from 2 exons. NCBI's taxonomy places the organism in Eukaryota, Viridiplantae, Streptophyta, Magnoliopsida, Malpighiales, Salicaceae.